UCGGGGCAGGCGGGUCCCGCGGCCCGGGAAGGGACCUCUGCCGGCGGCCGGCGGCAGUGCGCGGCGUGCGGAGCCCCGGGAGGGAGGCCGGGCGGCGGCCGGGGCUUCUCCUGCAGCCCGGCCCUGGCUGGACGCCGAGGUCGCAGUGCGAUCUCCAGUGUCGCGCGGACGUGUGCGCUGACAGGGGACCCCAGAGUCGCCCUGCUGGCUCUCGGCGACGUCUUCAGCCAGCCUCGCCCUCCCCCCAUGCCCAGCACGCGCGGCCAGCCUUGGUCCUGGAAGAGAUGCCGAAGCCUUUGGGAUUUCGCUUACCGACCUCCGCCUCCGGGAGGGCCCCCUCCAGGGGGACUGGGAAAACCUUUGCACUCAGCUACACCCCGCCUCUCCCCUCUGAGACAGUCUUGCUAAAUCCUUAAAUCGCCGGCUGGUCUCCAGGCUGCGAUCCUCCUGCCUCGGUCUCCCAGAGAAACACAUUGCGCUGGCCAGAAGGAAGAACUCGGGGGGGCCGCAGAGGUAAACUGGCUUCUCGGAGUUGCUGUUUUGGAGCUGGGCCCUUCAGGAGCGGGAGAAUGGGGGUUUUGGAAGAUGAGGGUCAUGGGCGUGGCAUCUCACCUGGGAAACCUGGUGGUGGAGGUUUAAGGUGAGGUAGGGCUGGACGGGGUAGGUGGGACUGUGCCAGUGGCCUCGGGGAGCCUCGGGAUUCCUCUGCACCCAGGAAGUGUGUGGUCGGGAACCAACUAGAGUUCCCUGAGCAGGCAGCCCCACCUGGGAACUUGUGUCUUUUCCUCUCUUUUAUCUAUUUCAAUCCCUAAAAGCCACCCCUCUCUCUUUUUCUUUCUUUCUCUGUCUCUGUCUCUCUCUCUCUCUCUCCCCUCUCCAUAGUAGAACUGGGUUGAAUAUAGCACUUUCACACCAGGUUAUAUCCCCAGCCCUUUUUCUUUUUAGACAGGAGUCUUGACAAAUGGCUACAUUGCUCUGGCUGGGUUUUGAACUCUCAAUCCUCCUGUCCCAGCCUCCCAGAAUGUUGGGAUCACAGGUGUGGGCCAACACCCUGGGCUUCUUUCCUGAGUCCAUAAACAGCCCUCCUGGGAAUGCUGACAUCCUCUAAGGGUUUGAUGAGCCCCAGAUGAGGGAGUGGAAUCUGGUGGCCGGCUGGGUGGCAUUCCAGGAGCAAGCUGGACUGUGCAGGUAAGUUCAGGGCAGUAAGGGCCUACAGUAGACAGGUAUGGGAUGUGGAGACAGUACAUCAGUUGGGAGGGGGAGAGUGCUAACUAAAUGCUCUUUUGAACAUGCUGAGUGUCAGGAUGCCAUUUAUGAUUAAAGAUCUUUUUUUUUUUUUUUUUUUUUUGUCUUUUUCAUUUUUAUCGGUACCGGGGAUUGAACUCAUGACCGCCUGCUUGCAAGGCAGGUGCUUAUGCCGCUGAGCUAAAUCCCCAGCCCAUGAUUAAAGAUCUUAAAUGGUUUUAUUUUCAUCCUACACACGAGUUUCAUGUGAUAACAGGUGGCACAUAUGUGGAGAACUUCCUCGAGACCACUAAAAGUCAGAGCUGGAGGGAGACCAUCUGGGUGGGCAGGGAGUUGCCAAGUAAGGAGAGGCCAGUUCCCCGAGGAAGUCAGUGCAGGAGACAAAAUUGGGGAGGGGUAGACGUUCGGAAACACACCAGGAGAACUGAUUAGGGAGGAAGAAAGGAAACCUGGGGGGGGAGGCACUGAUACAGAGGAGAAAGGCCUUCCAGAAAGAACCAGUGGAAGAGAACUGGCCUUGGGCACUGUUUAUCAGCCCGGCCUUGAGCAGUGUUUGCCAGCCAGUUAUGAACCAACCAAUAGGGCAAUGAAACCAGCAUUUAAAAGGACAACAGGGAGUGUGAGGGGAGAAUCAAGUUUUAUAUUAUGUACAGGCACAAGUGCUCUGUGUUGAAUGUGAUCAUUGUGUAUAUCUAAAAUACACCAGUAAAAUGAUUGAAGAAAAAUAAAUACAUAAAUGGAUAAUAGAAACUGUCAGACUGUAUCUUACAUGGCAUUUUAGUUACUUUUCCCUUGUUGCAGGGACAACGUACCCAACACUUAAAGUUAGAAAGGGAAAGGUUUAUUUAGCUCAUAGCUUGCAGAGGUUUCAAUCAUAAUCAGCUGACUCCAAGGCAGAGUAUACAGCAGAGAUGCAACCAUAGUUGAGGGCAGGAGAAGACAGCAAAAACAAGGAGAGAGGAAGAGAGAGAGACAGAGAGAGAGACAGAGAGACACAGACAGAGACAGAGACAGAAACAGAGAGAGACACAGAGAGACAGAGACAGAGCUCUUUUUCUGCCUUAUAUUGCAUGUAAAUCACCCUAGGGUGGGUGUAGCACUCACUUAGAUGUGUAGUAUGAGUUUGUGUUCUUGAAAACAAUGAAUUUUAGGACCAAUGGAGGUUAAGAGCUGAAUGUAUUUACUGAGAGAAAGAAAGCUUCUGUCUGAGAGAGAUAGAAGGGCACCCUUGUGAGUUACCAGGGACUCUUUCUUUUCUAGGGACUUUUUUUUUUAGGUUUUGUAAUUUUUUUUAUUUUAAAGAGAGUAAAACCAAGCAAAAUGAAACAAUAAAGCUAAUCAAAGCAAAAUGGUGUGAUACAGGACUUCAAAACAAGAUAAUAGGAAAUCAACAAUGAUUAUAAUAAUGCCUCUUGUUGUCUUUAAAAUAGCUGGAGAUAUCUUUAAACACAGUAAAAAUCAAACAAAACACAGAAUAGAACUAAUAAAAACAAAUCAAGGAACACAAUAAAGGACUUCAAAACAAGAUGAUAGUAACUCCAAAAUGGCUACCAUAAUAUAGCUUGCUAUCUUUGAAACAGCUGCCCAUGCCAUCAGAUACAACGAAAUCAAACAAGACAAAUCAGAGUAAAACACAACCCAACAAAACAAUGAGAGUGAUACAGGACUUCAAAGCAAGGUAGUAGGGGACUAACAAUGGCCACCACCUUCAGAAGGAGAUCCCCCAUAGAUGCUAUACUGCGUAUUGUUAUCCUCUGGACAGAUGAUCAGACUACUGGUUUUAGACCUGCAAAAGUCAGUGAAACCCUAAACACUACAAGCAUUAAGUUAUAUUUUAUCUCAAUAGCUAUUAUCACAGCCUGUGUUUCUCUGGAUCAGCCAGUCACUUACGGAGUGAGAUGGGGAAGGACCUUGGCUUUUCUUGUCUUCCAACUCGUGUGCCAGAGGGGGCUGCUGUCUGGUUCUCCCCGCAGCAGUCUGCACAUGGCACAAACUCACAGGGAGGGCUUGACUUCUUGUUUUCCUCCCCUGCAGCCCCCAAAUGGCUCUGACUCAUGGGAAAAAGUUGACAUCUGGUUCUCAAGGACAGGUUCUUUCUGACUCCAAACUCACACCAGACAUGUUUGAUCCUUAGCAUGGAGGUGGGUGGUAUCUCAGGAGACAGACUGUCUUCUGUUUAUUUCAAGGUCCCUUUUUAUAGCUUGUAUCUAGAUGUCCCUCCAAAGCCUCAAGUGCUUGCCUUUUCUAGGGACUUUUAUAAAGCAGAACCACGAAGUGAGGCAAGCCCAAGGUGGGGAAAAUGUGGGAACUCACAAGGUGGGCAUGAGAUGGGAUGGAACUGUGGUCACCUGGUAAGAUUAAUUGUCCAGGUAAAAUUGAUUAAACUGGGUACAAAUGGGGAAGUGAGCCCCUUAGCAAGCAAGCAUGAAUACAGAACAACAACGCUUCCUGUAGGGGGCUGGGUGGUGACUCCUGGCUUCCUCAGGGUGAUAGAGACCUAUUUAGACUAUCAAUUCCUUUUCCUUUUUUUUUUUUUGUCUUUUUCCUGAAGUUUAUCCUAGGAAGUAUGUGGGUGCAUUUAUUUACCUUUUGUCUUGAGGCCUUGUCCACAGUGGAGGUGUCUGUCUCUCUCACAGUUGCAAGGUAUCUCAUCCUCUGCACUGGCUCCUUUGUGGGCUAGCCCUGUCUGACUGCCUAUAUUUCCAUCUACUUCAGCUGCCUAUAACACCAGCAUUAGACCACAAGCCAGUCACAAACUAGAUUCAACCACCUCUGAAAAGCCAGCCCCCAUGAUCACAUGAGGCUUUAGGGGGACAUCCAGACACAAACCAUAACACGUGCAAAGAUGGAAUCCUGAAACUGUUUGGAGAGAGCAGAUACUAUCCUACAGGCCUCUUGCCAAAAUAUGUAUAUGUAACCUCAGUUCAGUCAUGAGACCACAUCAUACAAACUGAAAGGGAGGAACAAAGUAGCCUUUGAGGGGGUUAAGUGAGUCAAAAGAUGGAGGCUCAGUCACAGGAGGCAGGAGACAGGAUAGCUAAACACAUUAUGGAAUUGAGGGUAGGAUCCUGGGCCUGAAAAUUCGUGUGUUUAGUUUGGUUGAUUCCACCUGCCCUUGUUAAUGUCUUAGUUAUAACAAUCCUACUGUGAUGGCAGAAGAUGCUAUCAUGGGGGAAAGCUGGAUGAGGUACGUGUGGAAAUUCCCUUGUUAUCGUCACCACUUUUCUGUAAGUCUAAAAUUAGUUGUAAAUAAAAA
This is a long non-coding RNA of Cavia porcellus (domestic guinea pig), 4501 nucleotides long. RefSeq lists it as uncharacterized. NCBI's taxonomy places the organism in Eukaryota, Metazoa, Chordata, Mammalia, Rodentia, Caviidae. The record is from RefSeq and is a predicted model, not a curated record. The transcript has 2 exons.